UCUACUUAGAGGGGGCAUAUAAACAUUGUUAGAAGGACCUAAUGGGUAGGUGUGGGUAAGAGAUACAGUGAUAGCCCCCGCUUUCGUUUGUUGACUUGGCGGUUUGGGGUAGGCUAAUCAAGGGCUUGCACUGGCCGGCGCAUGUCGACCUGUCACAUGUUCCCAGUCGAGUCUCCGAGCUCAAUCUGUGUGUAAAAAUUAUGUGUGGGUAGGAAGUUUAAUUACUCAGCUCAGUUGGUAUGCUAUGCUGUCUAUCUUUUAGACUAUGUGUUUGUAGAGCAAUUAUUUUUGGAGGUUCAGUUAGGAAUUAGAGUUGGUAUGGUUACCAGUUAAAACAAUAAUAAUAAUAAUAAUAAUAAUAAUAAUAAUAAUUUUGCUUAUUGAGAAGGACUAGGUGGUAUUAGUAGGGAGGGAAAAGGGCGAAAUUUAUCUAAGGGAGAAGGGUUAGGGUGUGUCAGUACAAAGUCUCAGAGGAUGGGGAGAGGGAAACAGGUGGUCUGGACUGAAACCAUUCUGUUUCUACAGGGAUUCGAGUGAUAGAGAGAGAAUAGAACUUGCCACAGUGACUAGCCAGAGAAACUCUCCUCACCUGUUGUUUUUCAUCCUCUGAUACAAAAAAAGGGGGUGGGGGUGAUUAAGUUAAGAUAGAGGUUAGUAAGGUUAGGGGUUAGGGUUAGAUUUAGGGUUUAGAGGUUAGGGUUAGGGUUAGGGUAAGGGUUAGGGUUAGAUUUAGGGGUUAGGGUUAGGGUUAGAUUUAGGGUCUAGAGGUUAGGGUUAGGGUCAGGGUUAGGGUUAGGGUUAGAUUUAGGGUUUAGGGUUUAGGGUUUAGGGUUAGGGUUAGGAUAUAGGGGUAUGUGCCACUUUUGACAUGCCGGUUCAUUGCCUUUCCCAUUGAUGAACCGGGCUGAGAUUUGGCCUACCCCCUCAUUUUCGGGUAUGCUGAAUCUAGAAAUAGUAAUGAACCAGCAAUCGGACAUUCCUAUCAAAAGUUAUGGCGAAGUGAAAAUUUCCCAUUGAAAAUGAAUGGGAGCGGAAAAUGGCCAAAGUCAGUGUUUGCAAGUGUUCUACUUGUGUGGAAAUGUUGAAAAUGCAUUGUGAGCACGUUUCAGGCCAUUUCCUGUCAUUUGAGGGCGACUUUGCAAAAAGGGGUGUCAUACCGCUUUUGACCAGAGGUGGCGCUGCACCAGUUCGAGGGUUAGGGUUAGGGUGAGACUUAGGGCUAGGGGUUAGGGUUAGGGUUAGGGUUGGAGUUAGGGUUAGUGUUGGAGCUAGGGUUAGGGUUGGGCUUGGAGCUAGGAUUUUUCUGAGUGCAAUGAACCAACUCCCGAGUCUCUAGGACGUUCCUAAAAAAAUUUGAUUUUUUUCCCAUAGGAAUGCAUGGGUAAGGGUUAGGGUUAGGGUUGGAGCUAGGGUUAGGGUUAGGGUUAGGGUUGGAGUUAGGGUUAGUGUUGGAGCUAGGGUUAGGGUUGGGCUUGGAGCUAGGAUUUUUCUGAGUGCAAUGAACCAACUCCCGAGUCUCUAGGACGUUCCUAAAAAAAAUUUGAUUUUUUUCCCAUAGGAAUGCAUGGGUUAGGGUUAGGGUUAGGGUUAGGGUUGGAGCUAGGGUUAGGGUUAGGGUUAGGGUUGGAGUUAGGGUUAGUGUUGGAGCUAGGGUUAGGGUUGGGCUUGGAGCUAGGAUUUUUCUGAGUGCAAUGAACCAACUCCCGAGUCUCUAGGACGUUCCUAAAAAAAAUUGAUUUUUUCCCAUAGGAAUGCAUGGGUUAGGGUUAGGGUUAGGGUUGGAGCUAGGGUUAGGGUUAGGGUUAGGGUUGGAGUUAGGGUUAGUGUUGGAGCUAGGGUUAGGGUUGGGCUUGGAGCUAGGAUUUUUCUGAGUGCAAUGAACCAACUCCCGAGUCUCUAGGACGUUCCUAAAAAAAUUUGAUUUUUUCCCAUAGGAAUGCAUGGGUUAGGGUUAGGGUUAGGGUUGGAGCUAGGGUUAGGGUUAGGGUUAGGGUUGGAGUUAGGGUUAGUGUUGGAGCUAGGGUUAGGGUUGGGCUUGGAGCUAGGAUUUUUCUGAGUGCAAUGAACCAACUCCCGAGUCUCUAGGACGUUCCUAAAAAAAUUUGAUUUUUUCCCAUAGGAAUGCAUGGGUUAGGGUUAGGGUUAGGGUUGGAGCUAGGGUUAGGGUUAGGGUUAGGGUUGGAGUUAGGGUUAGUGUUGGAGCUAGGGUUAGGGUUGGGCUUGGAGCUAGGAUUUUUCUGAGUGCAAUGAACCAACUCCCGAGUCUCUAGGACGUUCCUAAAAAAAUGUGAUUUUUUCCCAUAGGAAUGCAUGGGUUAGGGUUAGGGUUAGGGUUAGGGUUGGAGCUAGGGUUAGGGUUAGGGUUAGGGUUGGAGUUAGGGUUAGUGUUGGAGCUAGGGUUAGGGUUGGGCUUGGAGCUAGGAUUUUUCUGAGUGCAAUGAACCAACUCCGGAGUCUCUAGGACGUUCCUAAAAAAAUUUGAUUUUUUCCCAUAGGAAUGCAUUGGUUAGGGUUAGGGUUAGGGUUGGAGCUAGGGUUAGGGUUAGGGUUAGGGUUGGAGUUAGGGUUAGUGUUGGAGCUAGGGUUAGGGUUAGGCUUGGAGCUAGGAUUUUUCUGAGUGCAAUGAACCAACUCCCGAGUCUCUAGGACGUUCCUAAAAAAAUUUGAUUUUUUCCCAUAGGAAUGCAUGGGUUAGGGUUAGGGUUAGGGUUGGAGCUAGGGUUAGGGUUAGGGUUAGGGUUGGAGUUAGGGUUAGUGUUGGAGCUAGGGUUAGGGUUGGGCUUGGAGCUAGGAUUUUUCUGAGUGCAAUGAACCAACUCCCGAGUCUCUAGGACGUUCCUAAAAAAAUUUGAUUUUUUCCCAUAGGAAUGCAUGGGUUACGGUAAGGGUUAGGGUUGGAGCUAGGGUUAGGGUUAGGGUUAGGGUUGGAGUUAGGGUUAGUGUUGGAGCUAGGGUUAGGGUUGGGCUUGGAGCUAGGAUUUUUCUGAGUGCAAUGAACCAACUCCCGAGUCUCUAGGACGUUCCUAAAAAAAUGUGAUUUUUUCCCAUAGGAAGGCAUGGGUUAGGGUUAGGGUUAGGGUUGGAGCUAGGGUUAGGGUUAGGGUUAGGGUUGGAGUUAGGGUUAGUGUUGGAGCUAGGGUUAGGGUUGGGCUUGGAGCUAGGAUUUUUCUGAGUGCAAUGAACCAACUCCCGAGUCUCUAGGACGUUCCUAAAAAAAUUGAUUUUUUCCCAUAGGAAUGCAUGGGUUAGGGUUAGGGUUAGGGUUGGAGCUAGGGUUAGGGUUAGGGUUAGGGUUGGAGUUAGGGUUAGUGUUGGAGCUAGGGUUAGGGUUGGGCUUGGAGCUAGGAUUUUUCUGAGUGCAAUGAACCAACUCCCGAGUCUCUAGGACGUUCCUAAAAAAAUUUGAUUUUUUUCCCAUAGGAAUGCAUGGGUUAGGGUUAGGGUUAGGGUUGGAGCUAGGGUUAGGGUUAGGGUUAGGGUUGGAGUUAGGGUUAGUGUUGGAGCUAGGGUUAGGGUUGGGCUUGGAGCUAGGAUUUUUCUGAGUGCAAUGAACCAACUCCCGAGUCUCUAGGACGUUCCUAAAAAAAUUUGAUUUUUUCCCAUAGGAAUGCAUGGGUUAGGGUUAGGGUUAGGGUUGGAGCUAGGGUUAGGGUUAGGGUUAGGGUUGGAGUUAGGGUUAGUGUUGGAGCUAGGGUUAGGGUUGGGCUUGGAGCUAGGAUUUUUCUGAGUGCAAUGAACCAACUCCCGAGUCUCUAGGACGUUCCUAAAAAAAUUGAUUUUUUCCCAUAGGAAUGCAUGGGUUAGGGUUAGGGUUAGGGUUGGAGCUAGGGUUAGGGUUAGGGUUAGGGUUGGAGUUAGGGUUAGUGUUGGAGCUAGGGUUAGGGUUGGGCUUGGAGCUAGGAUUUUUCUGAGUGCAAUGAACCAACUCCCGAGUCUCUAGGACGUUCCUAAAAAAAUUUGAUUUUUUCCCAUAGGAAUGCAUGGGUUAGGGUUAGGGUUAGGGUUGGAGCUAGGGUUAGGGUUAGAGUUAGGGUUGGAGUUAAGGUUAGUGUUGGAGCUAGGGUUAGGGUUGGGCUUGGAGCUAGGAUUUUUCUGAGUGCAAUGAACCAACUCCCGAGUCUCUAGGACGUUCCUAAAAAAAUGUGAUUUUUUCCCAUAGGAAUGCAUGGGUUAGGGUUAGGGUUAGGGUUGGAGCUAGGGUUAGGGUUAGGGUUAGGGUUGGAGUUAGGGUUAGUGUUGGAGCUAGGGUUAGGGUUGGGCUUGGAGCUAGGAUUUUUCUGAGUGCAAUGAACCAACUCCCGAGUCUCUAGGACGUUCCUAAAAAAAUUUGAUUUUUUUCCCAUAGGAAUGCAUGGGUUAGGGUUAGGGUUAGGGUUGGAGCUAGGGUUAGGGUUAGGGUUAGGGUUGGAGUUAGGGUUAGUGUUGGAGCUAGGGUUAGGGUUGGGCUUGGAGCUAGGAUUUUUCUGAGUGCAAUGAACCAACUCCCGAGUCUCUAGGACGUUCCUAAAAAAAUUUGAUUUUUUCCCAUAGGAAUGCAUGGGUUAGGGUUAGGGUUAGGGUUGGAGCUAGGGUUAGGGUUAGGGUUAGGGUUGGAGUUAGGGUUAGUGUUGGAGCUAGGGUUAGGGUUGGGCUUGGAGCUAGGAUUUUUCUGAGUGCAAUGAACCAACUCCCGAGUCUCUAGGACGUUCCUAAAAAAAUUUGAUUUUUUUCCCAUAGGAAUGCAUGGGUUAGGGUUAGGGUUGGAGCUAGGGUUAGGGUUAGGGUUAGGGUUGGAGUUAGGGUUAGUGUUGGAGCUAGGGUUAGGGUUGGGCUUGGAGCUAGGAUUUUUCUGAGUGCAAUGAACCAACUCCCGAGUCUCUAGGACGUUCCUAAAAAAAGUUGAUUUUUUCCCAUAGGAAUGCAUGGGAACAAAAAAAUUGAAAAAUUUUGUAAGUGCCGACGCAAUUUUUCACCUUACAGGAUUGUGUUAGGAGCACGUUUCAGGCCACGGGGAGUCUAUAGAGUGUACUGAGUGUGUAUCCUUUUCAUCUGAACGCUUGGAAGAGGUUGGUACCUUUACUCAAGAGUGACAUAAAGAAUGUGACAGGAAGUGUUUACACAUUUGUUCCAGGAGCAAAUCUCAGAUGGGACUCAGAUAAUGCCAGUUUUCAAUGAGAAUUUCUAAUUUGUCUACAAAGAAAAACAAGUUUGUGAUGAAAACCCUGUGAAAUGUGCUUCAUCCUCACACAAAGAAUAAUUUAAAACAUGCUGUGAAGAGUUUUGUUAUAGAACUGAAACAGCUUCGGGUUAGAAGCAGAGUAGACUGUCAGAGAAACGACAUCUCAUCUUAAAGAUAAAAAGAUUAGUUUCAGAUAAAUACAUGUCAUUAUAUCCACAGGGGGGCUCUCAGUUUAACACAGUUACUCUAGUAAAGUUUAGAGAACAGCAGCAAAUUUAAUUAAUAAUUCAUGGUUGAGUUUGUCUAAUGUGCCCGUUAUUUGUUCGAGGCUGCGAAUUGCUGCCAAAUGGAGGAUUGGAACAAACUCAAGUUCUCUUCAAUCUUUGACUUAAUAAAUCAUUAUUAACAGCAAGACUGGUACCCCUACUUCUGACCCUAAAAAAUUUAAAACUUAAUAACAAAAUGGCACCAGUACAGUAAAAAUCAAUAACAAAUGUAAGGUUAAAAAAACAAAAUCAAAACCUUUGAAGGUUGAAAAGAUAAUAGACAGGAAAUGAAUAAAUAAAUAAAACCAGGACAGUUGUAAUAAUGUAGUCUAAGGUUAAAAAGAAAGAAGAAACUAUUCUGAACUAUAAGCCGGAUUAAAAAGGUAGAUACCCAGAGAGCUUGUGUUGUUUAUGUCCAGAGAGUUUUGGUGCAUAAAAACAGAAAGCUCUCCAGCUGAAGCUUUUAUGGGACACAUGAGGAUCAUUUAAAAGGGAAGCAUUUAUUCAACUGACUGCUGCAAAUUUCAUUUCUUUUAGCUAACCCCAUAGUUUAGGAAGUGCUGGUGCUUGUUGUUUCCUCAACUGUUGAAAAGGAGUUUGUCCUUGUCAUCAUACAGAUUAUUUCUGUUGAGUGACAUUGACCUUAGAGAGCGGAGGCUGGCUCUGCUGAAUAUCAACACUCCAUAUGAAACAAUGAGACUAUAGUUUAUCAUAAGUUUUCUCUAAUGUCUCUCUUUUUUAUUUUGAACUAUACAUAGGAUACCUAUGCCCUAAUAAAAGGAAACCCACCAAGUUACGCGCUGACAGGGAUCCUCUGUGGGUAACAUACUUAGUACGUGAAACAACCCUACUUAAAAUAUAUAUAUAUAUAUAAAUACAUUUUAGAGCAUCUUUAAUCUCACAUACUUUGUUUUAAGAUGUGCCCCUGUCUUUUAAACAGUCAUGAAGAUGCUACAGUAGAACACAAUUAGAUAAUGUAAUGUCUCCUUUUUAUUAAACUGUAGGUUAAUUGUAUCCUGUCAAAAACCUCUGCUGGGGUUUUUCAUCUCCUGGCUGACUCACCGAGCACAAACAGCCGCUGUUCCUUUUUCCCAGCCCGAUUUGUUGUGGAGGUAUAUUUGGCUCAGUACUCGGUGUAAGACCGUUUGAUGUUAUCUGCUGUGGUAGAGAACAAGCAGCACUAAGACAGGCAAUAAAAGCCUCUGCAAAGUGCACCUGAGACAAUGUCUGCCAAUAAUUGUGUGUAUGCUGGGGUUAAACCAUAAUGACUGUGGUCAUUAAAUGUCACCUAACAUUUAUCACUCCCACUAAAUAUCAUUUGAUCUUUUUUCCCUGGCUUGUGCACGUGUACUUAGAAACAGUUUAUGACCAAACUUGGAGAGCAGCAGUGAGACAGACACAUAGGUGGGAGAGAAUUGUGCUGCUGACCUGUGUUUUAUUAGGAACUUGUGGUUCUCUUCCUGUCCCUCAUCACAGCAUGAUUUUUUUAAUACAAGGGGUUAAAAUCUCUGACCCGGUUUUAAAUGUCGAAGGCAGGUUUGGCAGAGCGCUUUGGAGGACUGUAUGAGAUAUGUUUCCUUCUGCUCACAUUACUACAAAAACCACACAGGGCAGCAAGAGCC
Molecule: long non-coding RNA, 7046 nt
Filed under: Xyrichtys novacula (pearly razorfish)
Lineage: Eukaryota; Metazoa; Chordata; Actinopteri; Labriformes; Labridae
Source: RNAcentral